Molecule: non-coding RNA, 46 nt
Filed under: Schistosoma bovis
Lineage: Eukaryota; Metazoa; Platyhelminthes; Trematoda; Strigeidida; Schistosomatidae
Also listed under: 1 other name
Source: RNAcentral
GCACUGAUGUGGAGUCCCACACUAGGACGAAACGGCUGUCCAGUGC